Molecule: ribosomal RNA, 374 nt
Filed under: uncultured Alphaproteobacteria bacterium
Lineage: Bacteria; Pseudomonadati; Pseudomonadota; Alphaproteobacteria
Description: bacterial SSU rRNA
Rfam family: Bacterial small subunit ribosomal RNA
Source: RNAcentral
UAAUACGGAGGGGGCUAACGUUAUUCGGAAUUACUGGGCGUAAAGCGCACGCAGGCGGCGUGAAUAGUUAGAGGUGAAAGGCCUGGGCUCAACCCAGGAACUGCCUUUAAUACUUUCAUGCUAGAAUACAGGAGAGGGUAGUGGAAUUCCAAGUGUAGAGGUGAAAUUCGUAGAUAUUUGGAAGAACACCAGUGGCGAAGGCGGCUACCUGGACUGAUAUUGACGCUGAGGUGCGAAAGCGUGGGGAGCGAACAGGAUUAGAUACCCUGGUAGUCCACGCCGUAAACGAUGAGUGCUAGUUGUCGGGUGUUUGGCAUUCGGUGACGCAGCUAACGCGUUAAGCACUCCGCCUGGGGAGUACGGCCGCAAGGUUA